GUGGGUAUAGCUCAGCGGUAGAGCACAUGCUUAGUGUGCACAAGGUCCUGGGUUCAAUUUCCAGUACCUCUG
RNAcentral lists this transfer RNA (72 nucleotides) under Camelus bactrianus (Bactrian camel). It matches the Rfam family "tRNA". Rfam says of the family: Transfer RNA (tRNA) molecules are approximately 80 nucleotides in length. Their secondary structure includes four short double-helical elements and three loops (D, anti-codon, and T loops). Lineage: Eukaryota; Metazoa; Chordata; Mammalia; Artiodactyla; Camelidae. RNAcentral also lists the same sequence under 2 other names. The record is from Rfam by way of RNAcentral.